GAGUAGUAAAUGUUUUGGACAGGAAACUUAAAGAAUUUGGCGGUGUAUAUUCUAAUGAGAGGAAUAUGUUUUUUAAUUGAUACUCCCCAUGUAUUUUACUUAAAUUUAUUUACUUUGUAUAUCUCCGUCUUAAAAAAACUUUUUAAAAUAUUUUUUAUUUCUUAUAAUUUAAAAUAAGUCAGGUCAAGGUGCAGGUUAUAUUUAAGUUGAAAUGUAUUACAAUAAAUCUAUUUUUGGAUUAAAAUUUAAAUGAUUUUAUAAAAUUGGAUUUAUGAGUAAAUUUUUUUAUAUAAUAAUUUAUUGAAUUGUGUUAAUAUACAUGCACACAUC
RNAcentral lists this ribosomal RNA (330 nucleotides) under Trichadenotecnum sp. Tiger13. RNAcentral describes it as "partial 12S rRNA". Lineage: Eukaryota; Metazoa; Arthropoda; Insecta; Psocodea; Psocidae. The record is from RNAcentral.